Molecule: long non-coding RNA, 720 nt
Filed under: Mytilus galloprovincialis (Mediterranean mussel)
Lineage: Eukaryota; Metazoa; Mollusca; Bivalvia; Mytilida; Mytilidae
Source: RNAcentral
GAUAGAGCAAAGACUUGUAAGCUCAUUGUCAAAAUAUGUACAGUUAUGAUGAAAUAGAUAUAGGAAGAUGUGGUAUGCGUGCAGUGUUCUCCCCAGAAAUUUUGGAUAGCAUCACAUUUGGCGUAAAAAAAUAAAUUGUAUUUUUCAAUGUAAUUUGUCGCGUUGUGGCAAUGCUCUGUUUCUUUUACUAGUGUAAAACCAUUCAUACGGGAAAACCAACGGUCUAAUCUAUAUAAAAACAAAAACACGUAUGAACUACAUAAACUGAGGACAACUACUCUACAUCAAAUUCCUGACUUAGGACAGGUGCAAACAUAUCUUCCUACUGACUUACCUUGUGAACUUUUAUGUUAGAAAUCCAGCUCCUCUUAUCAGUCUAGUACAAUGCAGGGUUUUUACUCAUAUCAAAUAAUCAUGCCCUUGUCCUGAAUAUGCAUUUAAUUUGUUACUGGACCUUUAUCAGCCAUCCAUCAAAAAAUGCUUGGAUACUCUUCUCUACACACAGAGUAGAAAAGACAUUUUAAAUAGAAAAAAGAAAAUUAAGAUGAUACCAGGUAGGCAAUAAAUCUUAUUAAGUACAAAGGAACAGAAAAAUGGUGAUAAGAAAAAUGAAAAAAAACACCCUACAAAUAACUAAAGAUUGAGAACAAUUCAGUCUACAAAAGGGCAAAACAGGUUUUCUUUCGCCUGUAAAACAAAUCACGAAGGCAAAACCUUGGC